AACGAACGCUGGCGGCGUGGAUAAGACAUGCAAGUCGAGCGGGAACUUUCGCUGUAGCAAUACAGUGAAAGUUCUAGCGGCGAACGGGUGCGUAACACGUGGACAAUCUGCCUUAAAGUGGGGGAUAGCUCGGCGAAAGCCGAAUUAAUACCGCAUGUGAUGAGAGACGACAUCGUCUUGAAAUCAAAGCCGGGGCAACCUGGCGCUUUUUGAGGAGUCCGCGGCCUAUCAGCUUGUUGGUGAGGUAGCGGCUCACCAAGGCUAUGACGGGUAGCUGGUCUGAGAGGACGACCAGUCACACUGGAACUGAGACACGGUCCAGACACCUACGGGUGGCAGCAGUCGAGUAAUUUUUCUCAAUGGGGAAACCCUGAAGGAGCGACGCCGCGUGGAGGA
RNAcentral lists this ribosomal RNA (396 nucleotides) under uncultured bacterium. RNAcentral's name for it is "bacterial SSU rRNA". It matches the Rfam family "Bacterial small subunit ribosomal RNA", at positions 29 to 408 of the family's 1533-position model. The record is from RNAcentral.